GUCGAACCCGACUAUAUCGAACCCGUUUACAUCGAAUUAUUCCUUAUAUCAAACAAUUUAUGGACACGGUAUAGUUACAAUGAGUAUAUAUAGCAAAAAUUAUGCAUACAUCGAACAAAACUAAUAGCGACUCCCGAUAUAUCGAACGUCAAGCGGCGGAAAGUGCCCCCGGAAGUUGGCUUUCCCUCGCGGUGAAGGGAAAACCCGGCGGCGCGGCUCCAUCCAACCGCUCCCCCUAUGCGACCGCGCUACCUCGGAGCCGCCGACACCUCCCUACAAAAAAUGAUCCUGGCCCGCCCGCCUGCAGCGCUUGCCCAGACAGCCAAUCAGAGGCUCUUGUGCCCUCGUCAUGCAAGUUGGCGAAAGUGCGAGUUGUCUCGCUGCUUAUCUGAUUCAUUGUGUGCGCCUUCUCCCGCAGUGUUGCCGUGAUGAAGCGUCAGAAUUCGCCUUUCGUCGUGAAGCUCGAAAUCAUAAACCGGGUCGAAUGCGGUGACAAGUCGGAUGUCUCUGCAACGUACAAGAUUCCGAGGUGCACUCUCGGCACGAUCUUGAAGGGGGAAAUUAGGGCUAAAGCGGCCUAACUCGCGACCCGGUGCCCGUAGUGCCCGUGGCGCCCGACGCGUAUGCACGGCCGUGUACGAGUGGUUCAUCCAAAAUAGCUUCAGCCGUACCGACUUCCGCGUGCUCGGUGAUGACUGUAAAUUCUGAUUAAUGCGACGAAGCCGUUGUCAUUGUUGCCGAGGUUUGGAGCCAGCUGUCAGAAUUUCCGGAAGCUGUUGACGAAUCAACGGUGCGCGAGUUAGUGAGCGCAAAUGAUGGUGUCGCGACCACGGUAGAGCCCGGAAACGAAGACUACAUUGCCGACAUCGUGCCGAGCACAACUGAAAAUGGGCACAACGAGGAAAGCAACGACCGUCUUUGGCCCACAUCCUCCGAAGUGCGCUCGCACUAGUCCGGUGCUUCUGUGCGAAAGCGGAAUGUUGCGGCCUCAGCUGCUCCGACUCCUUAGACAAUGUGGGGAAGUGCGUGCCUCGCAUGCAGCGAAAUUGCCCAAGCAGAAGAAAAUGCAGGACUGUUUCUUUGCGAAACGAAGCUAGUUUCAUCAAUAAAGUGAUUUUAUAAAUGGUAUCUGUUGUCCACGCAGUUCUAUGCAAGGAUCUGGGGUCAUUCCUCUCUUUCUGGAGGCACGCACCAGAAGAGAAAAGGAACUGUUCAACAAGACGACCUCGCGCGUCUAUACGAGAGCCACCCCACAGGGAACUGUGCGCAUUGAAAUCGCCAAGGAAAACAUCAGGUUCUGGCAAUUGAUCUAUAAAGGAUUGGAAUUCAUGUUUCGUUAGUUUGCAAUGUCGGGGUAUGUAAAGAGAGCUAAUGGUGAUGAGUUUGUUUAGCAGAACAACUUGCACCGCCACUGCUUCAAGGGGCGUUUGUAGCUAUAAAGGUUGACAGGCUACACUUUUAUGAGUGACAAUCGCAACACCACCCGAUGAUGCGACGGCAUCAUCGCGAUCUUUGCGAAACAUAACAUACGUUCGGAGAAAGUUUGUGUAUUUGGAUUUUAAGUGUGUUUCCUGUAAACACAGCACUUUUGGAUUAUGUUUGUGGAUGAGUUCUUGCACAUCAUCAAGGUUUCCAAGAAGACCUUUUAUUUAUUUUUAGACCUUUUAUUUAUUUUAUUAAGACCUUUUAUUUUAUUUUUUAGAAGACAUUUUUAUAGUAAAUUGGUGCUGUGUUUACGGAAAUGGCAGUGAUGCCUCAGAUUACAGAGCUCUUUCGAGGCCCAGUAACCGGGGUUUUGCCCUUUCUGGAGCGUUCAAGGGAGCCUCUCCGCUCCUUAGGCGUUUGGUGCGCCUUGAGGACAGGUGUAGUGUCCAUUGCCUCGUGUGAGGCUCCGGACACGUGCUCUUGCGAGCGAGAAGUUUUCAGAGAGAGUCCUGCCUUGGAGGGCAAGACCCCUGCGCCUACCAGCCCGGAGGUCGAUGGGGCUCCCUGAGGAAUUUGGCUGCGCCAGCUGUUGCCAGCGCUGGAAGGGGCGGGGGAGGGUGGGGCAGCCUCAGCGGCGCCCACCUUCGGGGUCGGUGGCCUUGUCUGCUGGGUAGACGGAGCAGCGCUAGCUGCAACCGCCGCGGGGGCAGGUGGCGUAACUGCCGACUCACGGCUUGCGGGUCGGACAGCCGCCGGAGGCUGUUGUGACGCUGCCCCUUAACGCGCCACUUCGGCAAAGCUGGCCUUAGGAAGGUAUGCAACCCGCCUACGUGCCUCUUUGAAUGAUAUGUUUUCUUUUUCGUUGAUUGUUACUAUUUCUUUUUCUUUCUUCCAAGACGGGCAUGACUGUGAGUAUGCGGCAUGCUCGCCAUCACAAUUUACACAGUAGAAAGAAUUCUCACAAGCUUCAGAGGAGUGUUCAUGCGCGCUGCAUUUCGCACAAGUUUGGCGGCCUCGGCAGCUCUGCGAACUGUGGCCAAAACGCUGGCACUUGAAACAUCGGAGAGGAUUUGGCACGUACGGUCUUACACGGAGCUUGAUGUACCCGGCCUCGAUUGACUCGGGCAGGACACUUGAAUUGAACGUCAGUAUUAGGUGUUUGGUCGCAAGUUCUUUACCAUCUCGCCUCAUCUUAAUUCUUUUGACAUUUAUAACAUUUUGUUCACUGAAACCCUCCAAGAGCUCAGCCUCAGUGAGCUCCAGCAAAUCACCGUCCGAGACAACGCCGCGGGAGGUAUUCAUUGUGCGGUGCGGGGUUACUACUACUUAGGUCUCCCCAAAUGAUACUAGCUGUGGCAGCUUCUCAAAUUGCUUCUGGUCGCGGAGCUCCAAGAGGAGGUCACCGCUAGCCAUCCUCGACACCUUAUAUCCUGGGCCAAAAACUUCGGUAAGAGACUUAGAUACAAGGAACGGGGAGAUUGUUCGUACUUGUUUAGCUGGUUUUUCUGCGUGGAUGACAUGAAAACGAGGAAAAUUGUGGACUUGGCGUCCGAAAAACUGAAAGACCUCUUCGGUGCGCCCUCGUUUCUGAGGGCGAUCAGGGAGUUUAGGAAAAGCGUUUUCCACAAGUACAGUUGGGUUUUCGGCCGCGAUGCCGACCACCCACCAUGGAGCCCAACAGGGGGACGUGACAGGAGCUCCUGCUAUAGAAACCCUGCCAAUGCCAGCCGUACAUCGCUGCUAUAACCAAAUACAGCAUAACCAAGGCUGGCUAGCUACACAAGGUUAACCCUUGCCGCCGGGAAACUAGGCAGUGAGGAGAAGUGAUGAGAAGACAGGAAAGAUGAAAAAGAGGAGAGAGACAGACGAAGAUUGGAGAGGAGUACAGGAAAAGGCGACUGCUGAUUUCCCCCGGGUGGGUCAGUCCAAGGGUGCCAUCUACGUGAAGCCGAGGGCAAAGCGGUGUGUUGCCGCCGCCGAGGGGCCGUAAAGGUCCAAACACCCGGCAUUGGCUCAACCCCCAGGAUCCCCUUUUCCCCGGACACGGCUAGGCCGCGCACGGCUACACGCGGGAGGGUCCAACGCCCAUGUGCUCGGGUACGUGGUGUCGCAACACACCAAACGCCUGCUUGGCAUCCAUAGCAGAUUAUGCUUCUUUCUUCCUAAAAAUUUAACAUUGCUCAUAUACAACUCCCUUUUUCUUUCACAUAUCACAUACUGUCACCUGGUUUGGGCUACUAUAACUAAGACCCCCCAAUAUAAUGAAACUUUUCUGUUGCAAAAAAAAAGCUCUAAGUGCAAAAACUGAUUUGAGAUUCGACGCUCACACUGAGCCUCUCUUUGUCUGUCUUGGAAUAAAAAAGGUGCACGAUUUUUGCGACUAUUUGCUCCUAAAAAGGAUGCGAAAGGGAAACUCUGGCUAUCUUAAGAGAAUAGCUUGUCUUGGGCAACCUCAUAUUACACACAACACACAUAACCAAGAAAUCUGGCACAUUCCUGCCUCAAGAAUGCAAUAGGGUGACCAAAUAAUCCGUUACAGAAUGCCAUUUCUCCUAAACUGACAAGACUCUUCAUAAUUUUAAUGCGAUACACUUGCAUUUUGAUUUUAUUUCCAUAUGAUGUACUUGCCUUGUGCAUGUUUUUUUUCUCCUUAUAACAUGUACUUUCUUUUCACUAUGUAGUCAUUGUAUAAAUUCUGUUAUUGUUCAUGUUGCCAAUGUGAAACUUUUUUUUUUUUCAGGGGGUACAUAUCCCAUCAAGCUUAUUUUUGUGCUUUUUGUCUGUGCUCCUGACAACUUUUUUUCAUUGUUGUCGAAUAAACUUUGAGUUUGAACUGAUGAAUAGUAAUCGCAGACUUGGUAGUUUUACAGCCUAUAUAAGCAGCUCGUCAGUACAGUUCAUGUAUG
This is a non-coding RNA of Dermacentor albipictus, 4331 nucleotides long. NCBI's taxonomy places the organism in Eukaryota, Metazoa, Arthropoda, Arachnida, Ixodida, Ixodidae. The record is from RefSeq and is a predicted model, not a curated record.